CUCGUAGUUGGAUCUCGGUGCCGGUCUGGCGGUCCGCCUCGCCGCGGUCUCACUGCCAGUCCCGGAGCCAUCCCGCCGGCCUUCCCUCGGUGCUCUUUACCGAGUGUCUUGGGUGACCGGAACGUUUACUUUGAACAAAUUAGAGUGCUCCAAGCAGGCGCGUCCCGCCCGCAUAGCCCAGCAUGGAAUAAUGGAAUAGGACCUCGGUUCUAUUUUGUUGGUUUUCGGAACCCGAGGUAAUGAUUAAUAGGGACAGACGGGGGCAUUCGUAUUGCGACGCUAGAGGUGAAAUUCUUGGACCGUCGCAAGACGAACUACUGCGAAAGCAUUUGCCAAGAAUGUUUUCAUUAAUCAAGAACGAAAGUUAGAGGUUCGAAGGCGAUCAAAUACCGCCCUAGUUCUAACCAUAAACGAUGCCGACCAGCGAUCCGCCGGAGUUCCUCCGAUGACUCGGCGGGCAGCUUCCCGGAAACCAAAGUGUUUGGGUUCCGGGGGAA
RNAcentral lists this ribosomal RNA (497 nucleotides) under Craterostigmus tasmanianus. RNAcentral's name for it is "SSU rRNA". It matches the Rfam family "Eukaryotic small subunit ribosomal RNA", at positions 627 to 1122 of the family's 1831-position model. The record is from RNAcentral. Lineage: Eukaryota; Metazoa; Arthropoda; Chilopoda; Craterostigmomorpha; Craterostigmidae.